This 425-nucleotide ribosomal RNA is filed under the name uncultured bacterium. RNAcentral's name for it is "partial 16S ribosomal RNA". It matches the Rfam family "Bacterial small subunit ribosomal RNA", at positions 354 to 796 of the family's 1533-position model. The record is from RNAcentral.
GUGGGGAAUAUUGCACAAUGGGGGAAACCCUGAUGCAGCGACGCCGCGUGAGUGAAGAAGUAUUUCGGUACGUAAAGCUCUAUCAGCAAGGAAGAAAAUGACGGUACUUGACUAAGAAGCCCCGGCUAACUACGUGCCAGCAGCCGCGGUAAUACGUAGGGGGCAAGCGUUAUCCGGAUUUACUGGGUGUAAAGGGAGCGUAGACGGUAUGGUAAGUCAGAUGUGACAGCCCGGGGCUCAACCCCGGGACUGCAGUUGAAACUAUCAGACGAGAGUGCAGGAGAGGUAAGUGGAAUUCCUAGUGUAGCGGUGAAAUGCGUAGAUAUUAGGAGGAACACCAGUGGCGAAGGCGGCUUACUGGACUGUAACUGACGUUGAGGCUCGAAAGCGUGGGGAGCAAACAGGAUUAGAAACCCCAGUAGUCC